GAAGUCGCUCAGGUUGUCUACUUGAAAGUUAUACUGUCGUGUCCGACUCCUAGCGACCCCAUGGACUGUAGUCUACCAGACUCCCCUGUCCAUGGGAUUUUCCAGACAAGAGUACUGGAGUGGGGUGCCAUUGCCUUAAGUUUAGAACAGUUUGUUAAAAUGUUAAGUGAAAAAGCUACACACCAGGUUUUAUAUGUGGAAUGAGUCUAAAGAAAACAUACGAAUAAACAAGAAGUGCUAGAAAAAUUCAGGCAAGCGAGGCAAUUCAUGUUAAUGACGCUUGCUUUCUUCUUUCCUGUGUGGGGUGCCGCACCUAGACCAGCUGACCUCAGGCGGCGGGUCAGCUCCCGGCCCCGCCCACCUCUGCACAUGCGCAUGGAGGCCCUCUACGGCCACGCCACUGCUGCUGACCCAUGCUCCUGCUGCUGCUCUGAUGGAAUGGAGUGCGGACGCAUGUGUUUCUGUCGCUGUGAAUUUUAAUGAGGUUACACUGACUUAGACCCUUAAGAGUUUCUGGGCUGGGCCUGGCCUAGCAAUGGCUCUGCACAAUUUAGUGAGUCGUAAGGAGUGCUGUCACUGUUCUCUGGGUGCUGGGCCCCAGGAGUCACAGAAGGGCUCCAUCAGCACACAGAAUGCAGAAGCGUGCGGCUAUUUAGAGCUCUCCCUGGCUCUCACCUGAUCUUCAAUGAUACGGGAAGAUUAAGUACCAGGAUCGGAAAAGAUAUGGGAGAGAACUGGUUGGAGCACACUCGAGUUCAGUAGAUGUGGAAACACGUGCCCUCAGUUUUUCCCAGCAUCAGGGUCUUUUCCAAUAAGUCGGCUCUUUGCAUCAGGUGGCCAAAGCAUUGGAGCUCCAGCUUCAGCAUCAGUCCUUCCGAUGAAUAUUCAGGGUUGAUUUCCUUUAGGAUGGACUGGUUUGUUCUCCUUGCUGUCCCUUGAAAGGGACCCUCAAGGGUCUUCUCCAGCACCACAGUUGAAAGUGUCAAUCCUUUGGUGUUCAGCCUUCUUUAUGAUCCAACUCUUACAUCUGUACAUGUAUUCUGUACUCCAUUAUUCUUGCCUGGACAAUUCCAUGGACCGAGGAGCCUGGUGGGCUUACAGUCCAUGCAGUCACAAAGAGGUGGAUACAACAGCAAAUAAACAACAAUGACAACUCGACAUAUAAGUUAAAUAAGCAGGGUGACUAUAUACAGCUUUGUCGUACUCUUUUCCCAGUUUUGGUUAUAAAGUUUAAAAAAAGACCAUCCUUAUGGAUUUUUCCAGAAAAAGUAUAGAGGAAAAAAAUUGACACAAACCUAAACUUUAGCUGAUUCAGUGUAACACCUGUUGCUC
Bos taurus (domestic cattle) is the source of this 1332-nucleotide long non-coding RNA. The record is from Ensembl. Lineage: Eukaryota; Metazoa; Chordata; Mammalia; Artiodactyla; Bovidae.